UACGAAGGUCCCAAGCGUUAUCCGGAUUUAUUGGGUUUAAAGGGUCCGUAGGCGGAUCUGUAAGUCAGUGGUGAAAUCUCACAGCUUAACUGUGAAACUGCCAUUGAUACUGCAGGUCUUGAGUGUUAUUGAAGUAGCUGGAAUAAGUAGUGUAGCGGUGAAAUGCAUAGAUAUUACUUAGAACACCAAUUGCGAAGGCAGGUUACUAAGCAACAACUGACGCUGAUGGACGAAAGCGUGGGGAGCGAACAGG
This 253-nucleotide ribosomal RNA is filed under the name uncultured bacterium. RNAcentral describes it as "partial 16S ribosomal RNA". It matches the Rfam family "Bacterial small subunit ribosomal RNA", at positions 524 to 776 of the family's 1533-position model. The record is from RNAcentral.